RNAcentral lists this ribosomal RNA (347 nucleotides) under uncultured bacterium. RNAcentral describes it as "partial 16S ribosomal RNA". It matches the Rfam family "Bacterial small subunit ribosomal RNA", at positions 338 to 682 of the family's 1533-position model. The record is from RNAcentral.
CCUACGGGUGGCAGCAGUGAGGAAUAUUGGUCAAUGGACGGAAGUCUGAACCAGCCAUGCCGCGUGCAGGAAGACGGCUCUAUGAGUUGUAAACUGCUUUUGUACAAGGGUAAACCUGAAUACGUGUAUGCAGCUGAAAGUACUGUACGAAUAAGGAUCGGCUAACUCCGUGCCAGCAGCCGCGGUAAUACGGAGGAUCCAAGCGUUAUCCGGAUUUAUUGGGUUUAAAGGGUGCGUAGGCGGAUUGCUCAGUUAGAGGUGAAAUGUCCGAGCUGACCUCGGGAACUGCCUCUCAUACUGUUGUUCUAGUGAGUAGAUGCUGUAGGCGUACUGUAUGGUGUAGCGGU